RNAcentral lists this non-coding RNA (196 nucleotides) under Onchocerca volvulus. Its description in RNAcentral is "Eukaryotic large subunit ribosomal RNA". It matches the Rfam family "Eukaryotic large subunit ribosomal RNA", at positions 967 to 1170 of the family's 3401-position model. RNAcentral also lists the same sequence under 1 other name. The record is from Rfam by way of RNAcentral. Lineage: Eukaryota; Metazoa; Nematoda; Chromadorea; Rhabditida; Onchocercidae.
UAUCUCUCAGAAUAGCUGGAGUACGUAAUAAAGCAGUUAUAUUCGAUAAAGCGAAUGAUUAGAGGAGUUGUAGGAAGAAACGUCUUCAACCUAUUCUCAAAUUUUCAAUGAGUAUGACGUCUUGCUUGCUUGAAUGAAGCGUGGACAUUGAAUGUGGACCAUUUUUGAUAAGCAGAACUGACACUUGGGAAGACCA